CGGUAAUACGUAGGGUGCAGGCGUUAAUCGGAAUUACUGGGCGUAAAGCGUGCGCAGGCGGUUUGCUAAGACAGGUGUGAAAUCCCCGGGCUUAACCUGGGAAUUGCGCUUGUAACUGGCAAGCUAGAGUGUGGCAGAGGGGGGUGGAAUUCCACGUGUAGCAGUGAAAUGCGUAGAUAUGUGGAGGAACACCGAUGGCGAAGGCAGCCCCCUGGGUUAACACUGACGCUCAGGCACGAAAGCGUGGGGAGCAAACAGGAUUAGAUACCCUGGUAGUCCACGCCCUAAACUAUGUCAACUAGUUGUCGGGGAAGAAAUUCCUUGGUAACGAAGCUAACGCGUGAAGUUGACCGCCUGGGGAGUACGGCCGCAAGGUUAAA
RNAcentral lists this ribosomal RNA (380 nucleotides) under uncultured bacterium. RNAcentral describes it as "bacterial SSU rRNA". It matches the Rfam family "Bacterial small subunit ribosomal RNA", at positions 518 to 898 of the family's 1533-position model. The record is from RNAcentral.